This 500-nucleotide ribosomal RNA is filed under the name uncultured bacterium. RNAcentral describes it as "partial 16S ribosomal RNA". It matches the Rfam family "Bacterial small subunit ribosomal RNA", at positions 28 to 507 of the family's 1533-position model. The record is from RNAcentral.
GACGAACGCUGGCGGCGUGCCUAAUACAUGCAAGUCGUGCGGACCUUGCUGAAGGCUUGCUUUUACAAGGUUAGCGGCGGACGGGUGAGUACCACGUGGGCAACCUGCCUGUAAGACUGGGAUAACGCCGGGCAACCGGUGCUAAUACCAGACCGCUUUUUCCUCCCCCUGGUGGUAAAAGGAAAGGCGCCUUCGCCUGCCUCUUCCAGAUGGGCCCGCGGCGCAUUGGCUAGCUGGCGGGGUAAUGGCCCACCACGGCAACGAUGCGUAACCGACCUCAGAUGGGCGUCGGCCCCAGUGGGGUUGAAGACCUGCUCAAACGCCGACGGGGGGGAGCAGUAGGGGAACUUCCGCAACGGCCGAAAGGCUGACGGAGCAACGCCGCGUGAGGGGAGAAGGCCUUCGGGUCGGAAAACUCUGUUGCCGGGGAAGAACAAGUGCCGUCCGAACAGGGCGGCGCCUUGACGGUACCCGGCCAGAAAGCCACGGCUAACUACGUG